This 162-nucleotide ribosomal RNA is filed under the name uncultured bacterium. RNAcentral's name for it is "partial 16S ribosomal RNA". It matches the Rfam family "Bacterial small subunit ribosomal RNA", at positions 393 to 539 of the family's 1533-position model. The record is from RNAcentral.
AACGCCGCGUGAGUGAAGAAGGUCUUAGGAUUGUAAAGCUCUGUCCUUAGGGAAGAACCGUGGGUAUAGAAAAUGAUACCCACCUGACGGUACCUUUGGAGGAAGCACUGGCUAACUACGUGCCAGCCACUUCGGUGACUGAGCGGGCUGGCAAGGCGCAUA